CUGCAGAAGUCAAGAUGGAGUUGAAAUUGAGUGUUGACACAGGUGGAGCCCAAGUCCUAUCUGAUCUGCAAAUCCCACUCCUACAGAGUCACCCCGGCCUGUGCAGCCUAGGAAUUGCCCAAAGCCUGCCCAGAGCUCAGGCCUGUGGGAAAAAUCAAGAAAGCUUUAUAUAGGAAGUGGACUGGUAGGACCUUAGGUAGGUGAGGAGGAGGAGCCCUGAGACUCUCCCCAACCCUGGAAUGAGGUGGGGGAGUUGGAGCUGGGCCCAUGCUGAUCUUCUCUACCCCUGAUCUCUGCUGAUUCCUGGCUGCAGGGUGUGUAUGUGUGUAGCUGGGAACAGGUCAGGUUUAAUUAUUAAUCAUCUGACCAGACUAAUCAGCCUAGAGCAACGUCUCUCUCUUCCGGGGCUGUGAAAUCCCCACUCACUAGCCCAAGCCCCCAGCACCUCCCAGACGCUAGGAGAGAAGAAGAGUGUGAGGAGUUUCCCUGCAGCCCCUGGGUCUUCAGGAGGCCUUGAUUAGGUGUGGGCAGCAGGCAGGCAGGUGUGGUUUCCACGAUGCAGGGUCAUAAACUGAGCUUUGUUCCCAGCUCCGCCCGGGAAGGUCCCUGAGAGAUGGGUGGGCCUGGCGAGGUGGGUAUGCAGUGAGGACAGAUAGGUUUGGAGAGGGCGUGCCCCUGGGGACCCAGAGAGGUGAAGCUGGCAUUGGAAGCCAGUCUGUGGCUGCAGAAGAAUCUGACCACUGAAAGGCCAAGCUUCAAGCCACACAAGCAGGGUCUGUGACACCAACCAUCAGAGCCACCUUCCAGUCCCCGGUGGGUGGCAACCUGGAAGGAAAAGAUGGGCAGGGCCAAGGCGGGGAGGUAGGGAGAUGCUCCCUGGCACCUCUCUGAGAAUACAGUCCUGUUCCUACAGCCAGCUGGUAGCUGGAUAGAGACCUGGAGCUUGGGCCUCUGUGGCUGCAGCCACAGGGAUGGGGAGGGGGCUGCUUCGUCCUUCAACAGUCACUGGUGCCUGUUCUGUGCAGACGCAGGGGACUAGGACACGCUUCCUGCCCUGUAGACUCAAUGGUUAAUGCAAGACCAACCUGUAAACAGAUCACAAGGCAGCCUGAUAAGGGCUAUAAAGAGAGGCCUCUGUGUGGGGCUGGGGGUGGAGAUGGUGUGCUGGGACACCGUGUGGGAGCAGAAACACCUGCAGGGAGAACAAAGAGGGUCAAGGAAGGCUUCGUAAUGGAGCUCAAUAAUCAAACUCUGGUCCAGUUCAAGUAUAAUCUAACAGAUCACAGCCUCAGACUGUCAAGAGAAACCUUGAUACUAACGGCUGCUGCUCACACCAACACCAAGUUUACCGAAUUCUUCGGGAAUACGAUGUGAAUAUACUUUAUUUCAGGUGUUUACAAUAAAAAGUACACAGGCCUUUUGUUCUAUUAACGCAGGGUAUGAGUAAAUGUGCUGCGCA
Bos taurus (domestic cattle) is the source of this 1459-nucleotide long non-coding RNA. The record is from Ensembl. Lineage: Eukaryota; Metazoa; Chordata; Mammalia; Artiodactyla; Bovidae.